UUCUAAAUUCCUUAUAUAAGGAAGCCCUUGUUUACUGCUGAAGAAAAGCACGCCCAGAUUAAGAUUCAAUGAGAAGCUCUGCACAGUAGUUCCAGAACCACGCUACUUUAUCCCAGAAGUUCACAAGAGGCUGAUGUGCACUUCAAGACUUCAGUGGCAAGGUUUAAAAAAAAUGAAAAUCCACACUGCCACAUUUUCAUAUCUUGUUAAAAAUAUUCAUCAGUCCUUCAUCAAAGUCAUCAUCACAGAACAUGACUAGACACAGGAAAGACAUGGGGGGAAAUGAUGUACAACAAGCAACUAAAUCUGCACUUCUUAAAGGUAAGGCAGAGAGGUAGGUAUGAAUAGUAACCAGUACAGAUACCAAGGCAGAUACCAAUGCAAUCCUUAUACACAGCUUACAGCUCAUCCAUUUCUCAGAGGAAUUUCCACAAAUGUUUCAACACUACCAGGGGGCUGAAUCAAUCUGCAUCAUGUUUUGAAUACCAGGAAGGCACAAUACCAGGCUGGAACUAAAGACAAAUUCUCUCUUGUAGGAUAAGGGGUCCAAGAAGACUAACAUCUGAGCUCUUUCUGAAAGGUUUUACGCUGCACAGCAAUGUUCUCUCACCAAGCCCAAUGAAAGCCAACUAAUUAGAUCAUCACACUCCUUCUACCAUAUGAACUGCUUUUGUUUGCUUCAGGCCAAUAGCAAUUCAUCUGUGAUUAUGAUUCUGACAAUUGCUGCUCCGCAACAAAACCACAGCUCCUUUACACUGGUCUAACUCCACUUCAACAGGAAUUUUAUUUACAAGGUUAUCAUAAAUAGCAUUUCAAUCUGACAUUUGCUGUUGUCCGUUGCCAUGCUUCUUUUGCCAAAGACAGGAAUAUUCUUGAUAAGUCAAGCACCAGUUCCAUAAACCUGCUCCUUUUCAGGACAACAGCAACAGGCACGUAGCUCCUUUCUCAUCAGCACAGGGUACCAUGACUGCCUUGUCCAACAGUACCUGUGUAACUACUGUCAUCAAGUGUGACUUCUCACCUGUCACAAACAAGAUGCUGUCUACUGCUGGUAACAGGUAUUGAAGCAAAACUUGUGCAUUGAGCACAUCCACAGAUUAUCAGGAGACCCUGUUUCUAUUUGAUUAUUUUCUUCAUCACAGUUUUCAAAGGGCAGGCUGAGAACGGGUACAAAGCACCAAAACAGAAUAAAAUAAACAAAAUGUUGAACAAAA
Pogoniulus pusillus (Red-fronted tinkerbird) is the source of this 1214-nucleotide long non-coding RNA. RefSeq lists it as uncharacterized. The transcript is spliced from 2 exons. NCBI's taxonomy places the organism in Eukaryota, Metazoa, Chordata, Aves, Piciformes, Lybiidae. The record is from RefSeq and is a predicted model, not a curated record.